RNAcentral lists this ribosomal RNA (460 nucleotides) under uncultured bacterium. RNAcentral's name for it is "partial 16S ribosomal RNA". It matches the Rfam family "Bacterial small subunit ribosomal RNA", at positions 338 to 795 of the family's 1533-position model. The record is from RNAcentral.
CCUACGGGAGGCAGCAGUGAGGAAUAUUGGUCAAUGGACGAGAGUCUGAACCAGCCAAGUAGCGUGAAGGAUGACUGCCCUAUGGGUUGUAAACUUCUUUUAUAUGGGAAUAAAAUGUUCCACGUGUGGGAUUUUGUAUGUACCAUAUGAAUAAGGAUCGGCUAACUCCGUGCCAGCAGCCGCGGUAAUCCGGAGGAUCCGAGCGUUAUCCGGAUUUAUUGGGUUUAAAGGGAGCGUAGGUGGAUUGUUAAGUCAGUUGUGAAAGUUUGCGGCUCAACCGUAAAAUUGCAGUUGAAACUGGCAGUCUGGAGUACAGGAGAGGUGGGCGGAAUUCGUGGUGUAGCGGUGAAAUGCGUAGAUAUCACGAAGAACUCCGAUUGCGAAGGCAGCUCACUGGACUGCAACUGACACUGAGGCUCGAAAGUGUGGGUAUCAAACAGGAUUAGAUACCCCAGUAGUC